RNAcentral lists this ribosomal RNA (468 nucleotides) under uncultured bacterium. Its description in RNAcentral is "partial 16S ribosomal RNA". The stretch from base 13 to 374 matches the Rfam family "Bacterial small subunit ribosomal RNA", at positions 40 to 399 of the family's 1533-position model. The record is from RNAcentral.
GACGAACGCUGGCGGCGUGCUUAACACAUGCAAGUCGAACGGAAAGGCCCUGCUUUUGUGGGGUGCUCGAGUGGCGAACGGGUGAGUAACACGUGAGUAACCUGCCCUUGACUUUGGGAUAACUUCAGGAAACUGGGGCUAAUACCGGAUAGGAGCUCCUGCUGCAUGGUGGGGGUUGGAAAGUUUCGGCGGUUGGGGAUGGACUCGCGGCUUAUCAGCUUGUUGGUGGGGUAGUGGCUUACCAAGGCUUUGACGGGUAGCCGGCCUGAGAGGGUGACCGGCCACAGUGGGACCGAGAGCCCGCCCGGGGGCACCCGGGAGCCAGCAGGGCGGGAGGGGGAAGACUGGGCGGAGGCUGCAUGCCGCAUCCGUCGGUGCGGGAGGGUGGCAGGCGGGUGGGAAAACGGUGGAGCCUGUUACGAAGGGGGAGGGAGGGGCAUGGACAAAGAACAAAAGCCGAAUGAACUC